GAGGGGAGGCCCAGCCAACGAGAACUGCUAACUCUUGCCCCUGAGCUUAAAACCUCAGUCCCCUU
Molecule: transfer RNA, 65 nt
Filed under: Poodytes punctatus (New Zealand fernbird)
Lineage: Eukaryota; Metazoa; Chordata; Aves; Passeriformes; Locustellidae
Description: tRNA-Ser
Source: RNAcentral